RNAcentral lists this ribosomal RNA (1036 nucleotides) under Arthrobacter globiformis. Its description in RNAcentral is "bacterial SSU rRNA". It matches the Rfam family "Bacterial small subunit ribosomal RNA", at positions 415 to 1454 of the family's 1533-position model. Lineage: Bacteria; Bacillati; Actinomycetota; Actinomycetes; Micrococcales; Micrococcaceae. The record is from RNAcentral.
CCUUCCGGGUUGUAAACCUCUUUCAGUAGGGAAGAAGCGAAAGUGACGGUACUGCAGAAGAAGCGCCGGCUAACUACGUGCCAGCAGCCGCGGUAAUACGUAGGGCGCAAGCGUUAUCCGGGAAUUAUUGGGCGUAAAGAGCUCGUAGGCGGUUUGUCGCGUCUGCCGUGAAAGUCCGGGGCUCAACUCCGGGAUCUGCGGUGGGUACGGGCAGACUAGAGUGAUGUAGGGGAGACUGGAAUUCCUGGUGUAGCGGUGAAAUGCGCAGAUAUCAGGAGGAACACCGAUGGCGAAGGCAGGUCUCUGGGCAUUAACUGACGCUGAGGAGCGAAAGCAUGGGGAGCGAACAGGAUUAGAUACCCUGGUAGUCCAUGCCGUAAACGUUGGGCACUAGGUGUGGGGGACAUUCCACGUUUUCCGCGCCGUAGCUAACGCAUUAAGUGCCCCGCCUGGGGAGUACGGCCGCAAGGCUAAAACUCAAAGGAAUUGACGGGGGCCCGCACAAGCGGCGGAGCAUGCGGAUUAAUUCGAUGCAACGCGAAGAACCUUACCAAGGCUUGACAUGGACCGGAUCGCCGCAGAAAUGUGGUUUCUCCUUUUGGGGCUGGUUUACAGGUGGUGCAUGGUUGUCGUCAGCUCGUGUCGUGAGAUGUUGGGUUAAGUCCCGCAACGAGCGCAACCCUCGUUCUAUGUUGCCAGCACGUGAUGGUGGGGACUCAUAGGAGACUGCCGGGGUCAACUCGGAGGAAGGUGGGGACGACGUCAAAUCAUCAUGCCCCUUAUGUCUUGGGCUUCACGCAUGCUACAAUGGCCGGUACAAAGGGUUGCGAUACUGUGAGGUGGAGCUAAUCCCAAAAAGCCGGUCUCAGUUCGGAUUGGGGUCUGCAACUCGACCCCAUGAAGUCGGAGUCGCUAGUAAUCGCAGAUCAGCAACGCUGCGGUGAAUACGUUCCCGGGCCUUGUACACACCGCCCGUCAAGUCACGAAAGUUGGUAACACCCGAAGCUCGGUGGCCUAACCCCUUGUGGAGGUAGCC